GAUGAACGCUGGCGGCGUGCCUAAUACAUGCAAGUCGAGCGAACAGACGAGGAGAUCUCUCCUCUGACGGUAGCGGCGGGCGGGUGAGUAACAAGUGGAUAACCUUCUUCUAUGACUGGGGUAAUUUCGGGAGAAAGCAGAUGAUAAUGGCUCACAUGAUGAACCGGAGGGAUCAACAGUGAAUGAGAGCCUUGCUGUCACAUAUAGAUGGAUCCGCGUCGCAUUAGCUAGUUGGUAAGGUAACGGCUUACCAAGGCAACGAUGCGUAGCCGACCUGAGAGGGUGAUCGGCCACACUGGAACUGAGACACGGUCCAGACUCCUACGGGAGGCAGCAGUGGGGAAUAUUCGGCAAUGGGCGAAAGCCUGACGCAGCAACGCCGCGUGAGUGAAGAAGGUCUUCGGAUCGUAAAACUCUGUUAUUAGGGAAGAACAAAUGUGUGAUUAUCUAUGCACGUCUUGACGGUACCUAAACAGAAAGCCCCGGCUAACUUCGUG
This 497-nucleotide ribosomal RNA is filed under the name uncultured bacterium. RNAcentral's name for it is "partial 16S ribosomal RNA". It matches the Rfam family "Bacterial small subunit ribosomal RNA", at positions 28 to 507 of the family's 1533-position model. The record is from RNAcentral.